UACGAAGGGGGCUAGCGUUGUUCGGAAUCACUGGGCGUAAAGGGCGCGUAGGCGGCCGAUCAAGUCGGGGGUGAAAGCCUGUGGCUCAACCACAGAAUUGCCUUCGAUACUGGUUGGCUUGAGACCGGAAGAGGUAAGUGGAACUGCGAGUGUAGAGGUGAAAUUCGUAGAUAUUCGCAAGAACACCAGUGGCGAAGGCGGCAUCCUGGACCGACAUUGACGCUGAGGAGCGAAAGCUAGGGGAGCAAACGGG
This 253-nucleotide ribosomal RNA is filed under the name uncultured bacterium. Its description in RNAcentral is "partial 16S ribosomal RNA". It matches the Rfam family "Bacterial small subunit ribosomal RNA", at positions 524 to 776 of the family's 1533-position model. The record is from RNAcentral.